Molecule: long non-coding RNA, 1723 nt
Organism: Xyrauchen texanus (razorback sucker)
Lineage: Eukaryota; Metazoa; Chordata; Actinopteri; Cypriniformes; Catostomidae
Exons: 2
Source: RefSeq, a predicted model, not a curated record
UUGGAGGGCGCGCUGUUUGGUCGGUUAAGAAGCCAUGGCCAGUGCUGCGGCCACGAAAAAGAGAAGAUGCACUUUUAAUACGAAUGGACCACAAGAUACUCUUGGUUAAGACCCGUAGAUGGUGAAGCAGAGAGAGCUUUUUGUAUUUUAUGCAAAAGCAGUUUUUCUGUGGGACAUGGUGGAGAGUACGAUGUGAAGCGACAUGGUGCAAGUGCAUUCCAGUGUGUGCCCUUGGGUUGUGUUCACAUGCAAGGGGCCUUUUGAUGAUAAUUGUCUUGGGAUUCAGAGAGCGGCGAGAGAGACUCUGUACUCAUGUAUUGCAUAUAUAUUAUAUAUAUAUAUAUAUAUAUGUAAGUAAAUCAAAACCAAAUAAUUUACAAGCUUUUAACUUAAUGAGGUGCAAUGGCAAGGUAUCUAACACCGGAGACGUCCUUGGUGAAUCUGCCUCUGGCUGGACAUUACUUUACAGUCCUUUUUAAAGUCCAUCAACUUUUUGACAUGUUCAGAAAUCCCCUCCUGGAAACUCCCUCUGCAUACAUUCAGUCUUUUACAGCCAAUUGGUCAAACACAAAAUCUUGAACUGUCAUUAUUUCUUGAAGACCCCUUAGGACUUUUGCAUAUAAAACUCUUUGUCUCUUUGUCCUCUUUUUCUGGACCUUUCCAUCAUCGCUGUAUCUUCUGUAUCUCGUCCGCAACACAUAGACGUUAAUGAUGGCAUUUUUCUCCUUUCUUUUGCAAAGCUCUUUCUAAUACAUUUUCAACUCCUCUCUACUCUGCCACCAUCAUCUGCUUAAUAAAUGCUUACAACAUUCAGUGUGGUAUGUUUUUCUUUAUAAACCAGCUUCAUAAUAAAAAUCUUUAUAAAACAAGUUGAGGUGUUUUUCUUAAUAAAUUAUUUUCUCAAUAUAUGGUUACAAUGAUUAUUAAUACAAGUGUUUUACAGUAAACACUUUCUUAAUAAAUUGUUUAACAACUACUUAUGGUACCUUUCAUUAUAAAACCACUUUUUAUUAGUUACAAUUGUGGUUUACUAUGACCCAUAAAUACUUCAUAUACCAAAAGCCAUGAUUAGAAUACAAUAAUUGCAUAUUUCACAACAAUAUCCACAUAUCUGCAUCUAUAUAUCUGUCUUAGUUGACUUGUAUAAGUUUGAGGGUCAAUUUAUACAUAAUUUCACCUUAUUUUCAUUAAGUGAACAUCUCAUGUGUAUUUCUUUAGGGAGUGGAGUAAAGGGGCAUAUUAUCUUUCCUGCUUUCCUGGAGUGAAAUGUUUUAUCAGCCUGUUAAGGUGGACUGCUCUUCUGAUAAUGAGCUCAGGCCUUCUUCAGCCUCGAAGAGAACUGUUGUUUGUCAGUGUUCUGUGUGUGUGUGUGUGUGCGUUUGAUAGUCUUUGCAGGUUCUGAACUUUGUGAUAUAGCCUAAAACAUUCUUGGACCCUGGAAGAAGGUCACCACGGACUUAAAUCUCGGAAAUGGACGACAAAUAUUCAGAUUAAUGGCGAUAUACCCACUUAUCUAUCAAAAAUGUAUUAUUUUUUAGACUUUAUGUUGUCUUAGCCAAUCAGAAGUAAAUGAUUAUGUAAUGCAUGUCCUUGUAAAAGGUAUACUUGUGUGAGAUUUGUUUGUAAGGUAGAGUUGGCUUGCGACCUCCUUGUGACUUUGACGCUGGCUCUACCAAUUUAACUGCAAACUCUUCUUCAGUAAAAUUUUACUUAUCUCAUUGAA